RNAcentral lists this ribosomal RNA (450 nucleotides) under uncultured bacterium. RNAcentral's name for it is "partial 16S ribosomal RNA". It matches the Rfam family "Bacterial small subunit ribosomal RNA", at positions 354 to 796 of the family's 1533-position model. The record is from RNAcentral.
GUGGGGAAUAUUGGACAAUGGGCGAAAGCCUGAUCCAGCCAUGCCGCGUGUGUGAAGAAGGUCUUCGGAUUGUAAAGCACUUUAAGUUGGGAGGAAGGGCAGUAAGUUAAUACCUUGCUGUUUUGACGUUACCGACAGAAUAAGCACCGGCUAACUUCGUGCCAGCAGCCGCGGUAAUACGAAGGGUGCAAGCGUUAAUCGGAAUUACUGGGCGUAAAGCGCGCGUAGGUGGUUUUGUAAGUUGGAGGUGAAAUCCCCGGGCUCAACCUGGGAACUGCCUCCAAAACUGCAUGACUAGAGUACGGUAGAGGGUAGUGGAAUUUCCUGUGUAGCGGUGAAAUGCGUAGAUAUAGGAAGGAACACCAGUGGCGAAGGCGACUACCUGGACUGAUACUGACACUGAGGUGCGAAAGCAUGGGGAGCAAACAGGAUUAGAUACCCGUGUAGUCC